Molecule: ribosomal RNA, 889 nt
Filed under: uncultured organism
Description: bacterial SSU rRNA
Rfam family: Bacterial small subunit ribosomal RNA
Source: RNAcentral
ACUGGGCGUAAAGCGCACGUAGGCGGCGUCGUGCGUCGGCACUGGAAAGCGCUCGGGCUUAACCGAGCGAGGCGUGUUCGAUACGACGAUGCUUGAGGCAAUGAGAGGUUGGUAGAAUUCCGGGUGUAGUGGUGAAAUGCGUAGAGAUCCGGAGGAAUGCCUGUGGCGAAAGCGACCAACUGGUGUUGACCUGACGCUGAGGUGCGAAAGCGUGGGGAGCGAACCGGAUUAGAUACCCGGGUAGUCCACGCGGUAAACGAUGUCGGCUCGGUGUGUGGCGAUGAUACAACCAUCGCUGCGUGCCCCAGUUUACACGGUAAGCCGACCGCCUGGGGACUACGAGCGCAAGCUUAAAACUCAAAGGAAUUGACGGGGGCCCGCACAAGCAGCGGAGCGUGUGGUUUAAUUCGACGCAACACGAAGAACCUUACCCAGGUUUGACAUGUUCCUGCAAGCCCACGGAGACGUGGGACCUACGAGGGUGGAACACAGGUGCUGCAUGGCUGUCGUCAGCUCGUGUCGUGAGAUGUUGGGUUAAGUCCCGCAACGAGCGCAACCCUCGCCGUCAGUUACCAGUGUCUGGCGGGACAGUCGUCUAGAGAGACGGAGGAAGGCGAGGAUGACGUCAAGUCCGCAUGGCCCUUACGCCUGGGGCGACACACACGCUACAAUGNCCGGGACAAUGCGUCGCGACCCCGCAAGGGUGAGCUAAUCGCGAAACCCGGCCCCAGUUCAGAUCGGGGGCUGCAACUCGCCCCCGUGAAGGCGGAGUUGCUAGUAACCGCGUAUCAGCCAUGGCGCGGUGAAUACGUGCCCGGGCAUUGUACACACCGCCCGUCACGUCAUGGGAGUCGGCAAUGCUUGAAGUCCGUGCGCUAACCGUAAGGAG